GAUGGUUUAACAUUUUGCUUUGGAAAGUGAGGAUAGCUGACACCUAUUUUCCAGGUGCCCUAGAGGAGUUAGAAAGAGUUCCAUUUUAACAUCCUGUUAUAAUCAUGUAUAUAAACUAAUAGUUCCAGAAUAUGCACACUAUAGUUAAAUGACAGCAUGUGUGUUAUAGACUACAAAUGCUCAAGGAAUACAGAGAAUGGAUACAUUAUUGUAGGCUGGCCUAGUUAGAGAAGUUUCUGAGGUGUGACAGACUUGAAAUGGAGGGAAUGAAGGUCUGUGAUAAAAGACAAGAGAGUGUGCCAGGUAGGUGUGUGUGUGUAUGUGUGUGUGUGUGUGUAGGGGUGAGGCAGUUCAGACUGCACAGGUAAAAGCACUGAAGUAGGAAUGUGCAUAGUUCACAUGGGGCCCUUUGUUUGGAUCUUUAUAGUUCUUGGUAAAACUUGAUCUCUAUCCACUUCCUUGAUUUUUCUUCUCCUUUGUCUUUCAGGGUUGAUUUAUGACUGCAGGAUGGUGUCUUGACCACCUACUGCCUUUAUUGAUGGAAAGUAACACCCCUCAAAGAACCUUCCAUGUAUUUAUGGGUGUUUUUCAGGAAUGGAAGACACCACUGUCUGCUUUUCCCAAAUUCAUUCCCCCAUCCAACCCCAACACCAGUACAUGUCCCCAAGUCCAGGGGAAACUGCAUCCUCAUAGUGAUUGUGGACUUUUGGGCUCAACAAGACACUCGUGCAACCCCAACACCAGUACAUAGUCUCAAAUCCAGGCUGGUCAGUUUUAAAAAAUGGUCACUAUGUGGCAUCAAAAGCCCAGUCCAGAACAGUCCUGGUCCUGAAUAUUCCAGACAGAGCAUGAGUGGAUGAAAUGGAGUUUCAUGGGAUUUCUCUUCACAUAGAUAAUAUUAGCUGAAUCCAUACUCGGUCUCAGGUAUUAAACUUAGUAUUUUACAUGCAGUAUUUCCUGAAAUGUUCACAAUUACUCUAUAGAGAGGUGU
Molecule: long non-coding RNA, 991 nt
Organism: Homo sapiens (human)
Lineage: Eukaryota; Metazoa; Chordata; Mammalia; Primates; Hominidae
Exons: 3
Source: RefSeq, a predicted model, not a curated record